UACGAAGGGGACUAGCGUUGUUCGGAAUCACUGGGCGUAAAGCGCACGUAGGCGGAUGUGUCAGUCAGGGGUGAAAUCCCGGGGCUCAACCUCGGAACUGCCUUUGAUACAGCACGUCUCGAGUCCGGAAGAGGUGGGUGGAAUUCCUAGUGUAGAGGUGAAAUUCGUAGAUAUUAGGAAGAACACCGGUGGCGAAGGCGGCCCACUGGUCCGGUACUGACGCUGAGGUGCGAAAGCGUGGAGAGCAAACAGG
RNAcentral lists this ribosomal RNA (253 nucleotides) under uncultured bacterium. RNAcentral's name for it is "partial 16S ribosomal RNA". It matches the Rfam family "Bacterial small subunit ribosomal RNA", at positions 524 to 776 of the family's 1533-position model. The record is from RNAcentral.